RNAcentral lists this ribosomal RNA (492 nucleotides) under uncultured bacterium. Its description in RNAcentral is "partial 16S ribosomal RNA". It matches the Rfam family "Bacterial small subunit ribosomal RNA", at positions 29 to 507 of the family's 1533-position model. The record is from RNAcentral.
AGUGAACGCUGGCGGUAGGCCUAACACAUGCAAGUCGAACGGCAGCACAGUAAGAGCUUGCUCUUACGGGUGGCGAGUGGCGGACGGGUGAGGAAUACAUCGGAAUCUACUUUUUCGUGGGGGAUAACGUAGGGAAACUUACGCUAAUACCGCAUACGACCUACGGGUGAAAGCAGGGGAUCUUCGGACCUUGCGCGAUUGAAUGAGCCGAUGUCGGAUUAGCUAGUUGGCGGGGUAAAGGCCCACCAAGGCGACGAUCCGUAGCUGGUCUGAGAGGAUGAUCAGCCACACUGGAACUGAGACACGGUCCAGACUCCUACGGGAGGCAGCAGUGGGGAAUAUUGGACAAUGGGAGCAAGCCUGAUCCAGCCAUACCGCGUGGGUGAAGAAGGACUUCGGGUUGUAAAGCCCUUUUGUUGGGAAAGAAAAGCAGCAGGUUAAAACCCCGCUGUUCUGACGGUACCCAAAGAAUAAGCACCGGCUAACUGCGUG